This 465-nucleotide ribosomal RNA is filed under the name Vreelandella stevensii. RNAcentral's name for it is "partial 16S ribosomal RNA". It matches the Rfam family "Bacterial small subunit ribosomal RNA", at positions 338 to 795 of the family's 1533-position model. Lineage: Bacteria; Pseudomonadati; Pseudomonadota; Gammaproteobacteria; Oceanospirillales; Halomonadaceae. The record is from RNAcentral.
CCUACGGGUGGCAGCAGUGGGGAAUAUUGGACAAUGGGCGAAAGCCUGAUCCAGCCAUGCCGCGUGUGUGAAGAAGGCCUUCGGGUUGUAAAGCACUUUCAGUGGGGAAGAAAGCCUUGGGGCUAAUACCCUCGAGGAAGGACAUCACCCACAGAAGAAGCGCCGGCUAACUCCGUGCCAGCAGCCGCGGUAAUACGGAGGGUGCGAGCGUUAAUCGGAAUUACUGGGCGUAAAGCGCGCGUAGGCGGUCUGAUAAGCCGGUUGUGAAAGCCCCGGGCUCAACCUGGGAACGGCAUCCGGAACUGUCAGGCUAGAGUGCAGUAGAGGAAGGUAGAAUUCCCGGUGUAGCGGUGAAAUGCGUAGAGAUCGGGAGGAAUACCAGUGGCGAAGGCGGCCUUCUGGACUGACACUGACGCUGAGGUGCGAAAGCGUGGGUAGCAAACAGGAUUAGAUACCCUGGUAGUC